Molecule: long non-coding RNA, 802 nt
Filed under: Phoenix dactylifera (date palm)
Lineage: Eukaryota; Viridiplantae; Streptophyta; Magnoliopsida; Arecales; Arecaceae
Description: long non-coding RNA (PDAC_LNC018045)
Source: RNAcentral
CCCCACGAAAUAGUGCCUCCAAGAAACUUGCCUGCAACAGAGCAAUAAUAAUACAGAAAGCAACGAACAUCCAUCCUAAACAAAAUGCUCUUAAAAAAAAUGAUGAUUUACACAAUUAGAAUUGCUAUCAAAUGCAGAAAAACCGUAACUCAAAGAACAAGUCCUUUACAAAAUUGAUGGUACCUUGCCCUAAGGCUUAUCCCAACCUAUGUAGCCCCUGAGCACCUGCAGCAACAAGUAAUAAUUGACGUCUACCUCAUCAAGAGUACGAAUAAAAUGGCACUUCAUAUAUCAGAAUCACUAUCAAAGGCUUUACAAACCCCAUCUAUACAAAUCAUUUCUUUCGAACAAUGAUAAUCCAUGGUCUUUAAUUCUGAUCACUGAUUAACAACCGAGCCAAAGGUAUAUGGAGACAACAGGCAUUAUUUAGAAGUGUUGAGUUAAAAUAGAACUAAGUUGGAAAGAACCCCUUGAAUUAAAGAUUAUACCCUCCAAAUGUCAUCAACACAUUGUGCCAGACCUGACUGACACGAAAACCAGGCGACAGGAAUGGAUCACCAAAACAAUGACAGCAUUCCUCAAACCAAAUCUACCAAAAGUUUCUUCCCUAAAAAAUAAAAAAGCUAGACCACCAUUCAACACAACACACAACUAAUGCAACCAUCUGAAAAACUGCAACAGCAGUAGAACUGACAAAUAGCAUCUACCAUGACAAGUGAAAACAAAGAAGAAAAAACGAAAUCGAGAAAGCAGGAAUCAGCAAAUGGUGACAGAGACCACCAAGGCCACAUUUGGAGGGGGG